RNAcentral lists this ribosomal RNA (83 nucleotides) under Fritillaria ferganensis. RNAcentral's name for it is "partial 5.8S ribosomal RNA". It matches the Rfam family "5.8S ribosomal RNA", at positions 73 to 153 of the family's 154-position model. From Rfam's summary of the family: 5.8S ribosomal RNA (5.8S rRNA) is a component of the large subunit of the eukaryotic ribosome. It is transcribed by RNA polymerase I as part of the 45S precursor that also contains 18S and 28S rRNA. Functionally, it is thought that 5.8S rRNA may be involved in ribosome translocation. RNAcentral also lists the same sequence under 2 other names. Lineage: Eukaryota; Viridiplantae; Streptophyta; Magnoliopsida; Liliales; Liliaceae. The record is from RNAcentral.
UGCAGAAUCCCGUGAACCAUCGAGUUUUUGAACGCAAGUUGCGCCCGAUGCCAUUAGGUUGAGGGCACGUCUGCCUGGGUGUC